CCCGCGCUGACACAAACUGCGUGUGUGCGAGCUUGGCAGGGAACCGGGCUCCGUCUGAAUGAUACCGCUCCAAAUUGCGUUCUUACCAUCCCCAAAGCCAGUGGCUGAAGUGGGAGCCCUAUCAGCCUCCAGCUCUGCACCACGGCGGCUUCCUCGGUGUGUGGCUUGGUGCUGAGGCACAGAGCUCGCCGAGUCGCGUUCAGUCAGUUAUCUGAGCACAGCUGCCGGCAGAUAGCCAGUGUCGCACUGUUGCUUCUUGCCGUGGUCUUGAAGAGGCAGCCUGUGCCUGGAAUAAUUUACUGUUUAACUUAGUCGUUGGGCUGUGCUUUUAUUCCUUUCGCAGUUUGGGCAGCGGGAGCGAUGGAGAGCGAAUGCAGGAGUUGGCAGUGCCCAUCUAUGGCCAGGCCUGCCUAAAUGUGGCACGAAGCAGUCUUGGAAGAGGUCCCGUCACGUCAUGGGUGCCUGCCCUUUCCCAGCCGCUUGUGUCCAGCACUAUUUCAGGCUGGGAGAAGUUUGAUUUGUUGCAGAAGGAGAUGCAAGUAUGCAGUGAAAGCAGUUGAUUUUCACAGGGGAAGAGCGAGGUGCAUAUGGUCCGGUCUGCCUGGAUCUUACUCUUGAAUGAGAACAAAGUUAAGAUAAUAAAAUCGUUUCCACUGAGCGUGUUUCCCCUUUGUUGGCAGCCAGGGACUCUCCUGGGAACACACCAGAGGAUUUGGGGAUCAUUUUUUAUGUAUUUGACUGUAGAUAAAUUUUCCUCAUUCUGCAAUUGGGUGUGUUUGCACAGGCAGCUUUUCCGUGCGGCCUGACCAAGAGGUGGAAGCAAUGAGUCCAGGGACCAGCUUUGUUUUUCUGGAAGGAAAUAACAAGUUGACUGUAUGUUCUGAAAGUCAGGCUCCCCUACUUUGCUGCCAAUGCCUGAGGCUGGUCUGAAAUGGGAAUUGAAUUAAUGUUUUUAAACCUUUUAAAGAUUCAUUUCCCUUGUUGCUUUAGUUCUUAUAAAUAGACUGAGAUUUUGGCUCUAAGAAUUAAUUAUUUCCAGUAAAAAUUCCUGAAAAAGAAGGACCCUGUAGAAAUCAACAAAGUUCGUCAAGAAUUCCUUGUUUUGUAAGAAAAACUCGCUUUCAUCUUCUAGAUAGCUCUCCAUUUAAGGACUGCGCUACUCAGAGGCCAUUCUGGUAUUUCUAUGGCUAUAUAUGGAGCCUACUACUCCUCAGUGGUUCCUUAUGAUAGUCUCAGGGCUGAGUAAAGGUCAGGCCAGGAAGCCUUUGAUGGCAAAUCUCUUCAGACCACCUUGAUACCCUUCCUGAAUGCCACGAAUGGGAGAGAAAUGUGAGUAAGCCUUGUGUUGUGCAACCUCUGGGAACUAGUUGCUGCAGGUACAGCAGAAGCACCGUUGUUCCACAUCUACAAGAUAAAUAUUAAUGUUUAAGCUGUGCUUAAUGUAAGUAUUUAUGCCAAAAGGCCAAAAAACGUAUCCUCACAGUCUCUGAAGACAGCCCUUUCCAUUUGCACUCAUUAUUACAGUGGCCGAUUACAACAAAACUUCACAGUUUUUAUAGACUUUCUUUAGGUGACUCACACACGUUGCACAAUUUUACUUGCUUUUUUGGUCUGUUUUCUUAGCUGAUUCUCUCAGAGAGGCUGACUUCCUCAGGGGCUCUCCCUACCUUAGAUGUGUAGAGCUUGUCAAAAACAACGGAAAGUAAAAUUAGGACAGGAAGUUUAAAGUAUAAUUAGUUUUUCUUUCUUCUUUUCCUGAUUUCAAACUGAAAAUUUUGAUCUGUUCUCUUUAUUUACUCCUUAUUUCUUAAACAGACUUGUUUUAAUGCAGAGUUUUCUGUUGGACAGGCUGGUCUCACAAUGCAAAGCUUUUUUUUAAAAUUCCAUAUAUGUAUACUUAAACAUUCUGAAAGCAGAAAAGGAACGAAAGCAAUGAUUUUUUUAGCUCUUUUUUUUCUCCAAGUGAUAUAUUUUUUUUCCUAUAAAAAGUCUCUGCUGGAAGAAGAGCUGUUUUUUUGUUUAAAAUCCCCAAGCAGUUCAAACACACACUCACUCUUUUUAAUGUCUGACACAUUAACUGCUGUAUUGCAGUGCUCAAGAUGUGCUGGUACUGAUGGGACAGGUCUGCUGUUGUCCUCUGUUAAUGAAUUUGUCUUCCUUUCUCUGUGAAAGAUUAAACUUUUAGUUCUGUUGGUUUUCAGUUUCAGUUGCUGGCACCCAGAAAUACCACCAGAAAUGGGAAAUAUGGGCUCGGAUAAUGUAUGUGAAUGAGAAACAUCCUUGUUUCAAGAUGGUUCACUCUUUACAUCUGUAAAGCAAAGAAAGCGUGUUGUAGGCUACCUACGGGACCUGAUCCACGUGUAGACAGAACUGGAUGUUCUCUUUGACCAACAGAGACUUUGCUAGAGAAGAUGCUGCUGGAAGUGCAUGGGAUUAGACUUAAGUCACGUUGUAUUUGUCUUCAAAACAAAACCUAGUCUUUGGGGGCAAAAUACGGUGCUGUGUAACUGAAACUUGCUUCACAUGAAAUCAUCACUGUGACAUGUAUUUGCUUGUCUCCCUGCCUUAGACUGGACAGGUUUGCUUCCUGUGAAGAUCACCUAAGAAUGGGGAGAUGGGCAAAUCUACAUGUUUGAAAAGAGGUUGUGACUCAGUCAGCACUGUAAAACUUUGACAGUUUCAAGAAGGUUGUGGAAACAGUGUAGUUCAAUAAAAUUCACUUCCUGCUGGGC
Molecule: long non-coding RNA, 2732 nt
Organism: Gallus gallus (chicken)
Lineage: Eukaryota; Metazoa; Chordata; Aves; Galliformes; Phasianidae
Source: Ensembl